UACAGAGGUCUCAAGCGUUGUUCGGAUUCAUUGGGCGUAAAGGGUGCGUAGGUGGCGUGGUAAGUCGGGUGUGAAAUUUCGGAGCUUAACUCCGAAACUGCAUUCGAUACUGCUGUGCUUGAGAACUGGAGAGGAGACUGGAAUUUACGGUGUAGCAGUGAAAUGCGUAGAGAUCGUAAGGAAGACCAGUGGCGAAGGCGGGUCUCUGGACAGUUACUGACGCUGAGGCACGAAGGCCAGGGGAGCAAACGGG
RNAcentral lists this ribosomal RNA (253 nucleotides) under uncultured bacterium. RNAcentral describes it as "partial 16S ribosomal RNA". It matches the Rfam family "Bacterial small subunit ribosomal RNA", at positions 524 to 776 of the family's 1533-position model. The record is from RNAcentral.